ACCCCCUUAAUAUGGACGAUGAAGUAUUAAUCAGAAUUCAGAGGCAAAAAUCUGCUGCUUGGAUACCAUUCUGCUUUCGUGAACAGUAGCUAGAUUGGUGAAAACAUUCGAGUCUCGGGAUUUUAGAAGGGUGUGAGAACUGGGAAGUUACAGGUAGUGUAGAGUGCGUUCAUGGGAAGGACUUGUACUCUUCCCAUAACUGUUUUCUUAAGUAAGCUUUGUGAAGCAGUAUUGUACUUAAAAUAGAUUACUACUGUAUGCUCAGUAGUUUGAAAUCAUAAGCCGUGAUUCUAUU
Paramuricea clavata is the source of this 295-nucleotide non-coding RNA. NCBI's taxonomy places the organism in Eukaryota, Metazoa, Cnidaria, Anthozoa, Malacalcyonacea, Plexauridae. The record is from the annotation of a GenBank genome assembly.